Molecule: ribosomal RNA, 468 nt
Filed under: uncultured bacterium
Lineage: Bacteria
Description: partial 16S ribosomal RNA
Rfam family: Bacterial small subunit ribosomal RNA
Source: RNAcentral
GACGAACGCUGGCGGCGUGCUUAACACAUGCAAGUCGAACGGAAAGGCCCUGCUUUUGUGGGGUGCUCGAGUGGCGAACGGGUGAGUAACACGUGAGUAACCUGCCCUUGACUUUGGGAUAACUUCAGGAAACUGGGGCUAAUACCGGAUAGGAGCUCCUGCUGCAUGGUGGGGGUUGGAAAGUUUCGGCGGUUGGGGAUGGACUCGCGGCUUUUCAGCUUGUUGGUGGGGUAGUGGCUUACCAAGGCUUUGACGGGUAGCCGGCCUGAGAGGGUGACCGGCCACAUUGGGACUGAGAUAGGGCCCAGACUCCUACGGGAGGCAGCAGUGGGGAAUAUUACACAAUGGGCGGAAGCCUGAUGCAACAACGCCGCGUGCGGGAUGACGGCCUUCGGGUUGUGAACCGCUUUCGCCUGUGACGAAGCGUGAGUGACGGUAAUUGGUAAAGAAGCACCGGCUAACUACGUG